AUUGAACGCUGGCGGCAUGCUUUACACAUGCAAGUCGAACGGCAGCGCGGGCUUCGGCCUGGCGGCGAGUGGCGAACGGGGGAGUAAUGCAUCGGAACGUGCCCAGUAGUGGGGGAUAGCCCGGCGAAAGCCGGAUUAAUACCGCAUACGACCUGAGGGUGAAAGCGGGGGACCGGAAGGCCUCGCGCUAUUGGAGCGGCCGAUGUCGGAUUAGCUAGUUGGUGGGGUAAAGGCUUACCAAGGCGACGAUCCGUAGCUGGUCUGAGAGGACGACCAGCCACACUGGGACUGAGACGCGGCCCAGAAUCCUACGGGAGGCAGCAGUGGGGAAUUUUGGAGCAUGGGGGCAACCCUGCUCCAGCCAUGCCGCGUGCGGGAAGAAGGCCUUCGGGUUGUAAACCGCUUUUGUUCGGGAAGAAAUCCUCUGGGCUAAUACCCCGGGGGGAUGACGGUACCGGAAGAAUAAGCACCGGCUAACUACGUG
This 484-nucleotide ribosomal RNA is filed under the name uncultured bacterium. Its description in RNAcentral is "partial 16S ribosomal RNA". It matches the Rfam family "Bacterial small subunit ribosomal RNA", at positions 28 to 507 of the family's 1533-position model. The record is from RNAcentral.